GACGAACGCUGGCGGCGUGCUUAACACAUGCAAGUCGAACGGAAAGGCCCUGCUUUUGCGGGGUGCUCGAGUGGCGAACGGGUGAGUAACACGUGAGUAACCUGCCCUUGACUUUGGGAUAACUUCAGGAAACUGGGGCUAAUACCGGAUAGGAGCUCCUGCUGCGUGGUGGGGGUUGGAAAGUUUCGGCGGUUGGGGAUGGACUCGCGGCUUAUCAGCUUGUUGGUGGGGUAGUGGCUUACCAAGGCUUUGACGGGUAGCCGGCCUGAGAGGGUGACCGGCCACAUUGGGACUGAGAUACGGCCCAGACUCCUACGGGAGGCAGCAGUGGGGAAUAUUGCACAAUGGGCGGAAGCCUGAUGCAGCAACGCCGCGUGCGGGAUGACGGCCUUCGGGUUGUAAACCGCUUUCGCCUGUGACGAAGCGUGAGUGACGGUAAUGGGUAAAGAAGCACCGGCUAACUACGUGCCAGCAGCCGCGGUGAUACGUAGGGUGCGAGCGUUGUCCGGAUUUAUUGGGCGUAAAGGGCUCGUAGGUGGUUGAUCGCGUCGGAAGUGUAAUCUUGGGGCUUAACCCUGAGCGUGCUUUCGAUACGGGUUGACUUGAGGAAGGUAGGGGAGAAUGGAAUUCCUGGUGGAGCGGUGGAAUGCGCAGAUAUCAGGAGGAACACCAGUGGCGAAGGCGGUUCUCUGGGCCUUUCCUGACGCUGAGGAGCGAAAGCGUGGGGAGCGAACAGGCUUAGAUACCCUGGUAGUCCACGCUGUAAACGGUGGGUACUAGGUGUGGGGUCCAUUCCACGGGUUCCGUGCCGUAGCUAACGCUUUAAGUACCCCGCCUGGGGAGUACGGCCGCAAGGCUAAAACUCAAAGGAAUUGACGGGGCCCCGCACAAGCGGCGGAGCAUGCGGAUUAAUUCGAUGCAACGCGUAGAACCUUACCUGGGUUUGACAUGGAUCGGGAGCGCUCAGAGAUGGGUGUGCCUCUUUUGGGGUCGGUUCACAGGUGGUGCAUGGCUGUCGUCAGCUCGUGUCGUGAGAUGUUGGGUUAAGUCCCGCAACGAGCGCAACCCUUGUUCACUGUUGCCAGCACGUUAUGGUGGGGACUCAGUGGAGACCGCCGGGGUCAACUCGGAGGAAGGUGGGGAUGACGUCAAGUCAUCAUGCCCCUUAUGUCCAGGGCUUCACGCAUGCUACAAUGGCUGGUACAGAGAGUGGCGAGCCUGUGAGGGUGAGCGAAUCUCGGAAAGCCGGUCUCAGUUCGGAUUGGGGUCUGCAACUCGACCUCAUGAAGUCGGAGUCGCUAGUAAUCGCAGAUCAGCAACGCUGCGGUGAAUACGUUCCCGGG
RNAcentral lists this ribosomal RNA (1343 nucleotides) under uncultured bacterium. Its description in RNAcentral is "16S ribosomal RNA". It matches the Rfam family "Bacterial small subunit ribosomal RNA", at positions 28 to 1378 of the family's 1533-position model. The record is from RNAcentral.